Molecule: ribosomal RNA, 498 nt
Filed under: uncultured bacterium
Lineage: Bacteria
Description: partial 16S ribosomal RNA
Rfam family: Bacterial small subunit ribosomal RNA
Source: RNAcentral
AUUGAACGCUGGCGGCAGGCCUAACACAUGCAAGUCGAGCGAGAAAGGCCUUCGGGCUGAGUAGAGCGGCGGACGGGUGAGUAACGCGUAGGAAGCUACCCGGUAGCGGGGGAUAACUCGGGGAAACUCGAGCUAAUACCGCAUACGCCCUGAGGGGGAAAGCGGGGGACCGUAAGGCAUCGCACUAUCGGAUGAGCCUGCGUCGGAUUAGCUGGUUGGUAGGGUAACGGCCUACCAAGGCGACGAUCUGUAGCGGGUCUGAGAGGAUGAUCCGCCACACUGGGACUGAGACACGGCCCAGACUCUUACGGGAGGCAGCAGUGGGGAAUAUUGGACAAUGGGGGGAACCCUGAUCCAGCCAUGCCGCGUGUGUGAAGAAGGCCUUAUGGUUGUAAAGCACUUUAAGCGAGGAGGAGGCUCUUUUGGUUGAUACCCAAGAUGAGUGGACGUUACUCGCAGAAUAAGCACCGGCUAACUCUGUGCCAGCAGCCGCCGUAA